UCCCUAGUGGUGUAGUGGCUAACAUCGCUGUCUUUCACACAGCAGCCCUGGGUUCGAUUCCCAGCUAGGGAG
Transfer RNA from Coccidioides immitis H538.4, 72 nucleotides. It matches the Rfam family "tRNA". From Rfam's summary of the family: Transfer RNA (tRNA) molecules are approximately 80 nucleotides in length. Their secondary structure includes four short double-helical elements and three loops (D, anti-codon, and T loops). The record is from Rfam. Lineage: Eukaryota; Fungi; Ascomycota; Eurotiomycetes; Onygenales; Onygenaceae.